This 993-nucleotide ribosomal RNA is filed under the name Triticum aestivum (bread wheat). RNAcentral describes it as "partial small subunit ribosomal RNA". The record is from RNAcentral. Lineage: Eukaryota; Viridiplantae; Streptophyta; Magnoliopsida; Poales; Poaceae.
AUGGCAGCUGCCGCAUGCUGGUCCUCGCUCCCGUCCGACCUCAUCAACCGCAUCACCGAUUGCCUCCUAGCCACAAAUGAUAUCGACUGCUACGUAGACUUCCGCGCUGUCUGCAGCAACUGGCGCUCCGCCACCGUCAACCCCAUGAACACCUCCGGCCUCUGCUUCCGCCCCCGACUCUGGAUCAUGCUCGACGAGGUCUUUGAGAACUAUGCACGCAUCUUGGUGAACACCGCCACCGGCCGCGUCAUCCGGAAGGACUUGCCUCUGCUGCGCAACUACUAUGUUAUCGCCACCACUGCCGGCGGCUUCUUCGUCCUGGCGGACAGGAAGUACCAUCACGCCGCGCGUCUUCUCAAUCCUUUCACAGGCCACUUGAUCCGUUUCAAGGCGCCCGUGCCUUUCGAGCUGGACGUUGCUGCUGCUGUCUCCGGUCCUUCGCCCACCCUCAUCUUGAUUUCUGACAGAUCUCGCAGGCAGUACAGGGCUGAUCCUUCCAGUGAAUGUUUCGCCGUGUACGAGGACCAGUACACUUAUCCUGUGACCCGGCUGGCUGUCCUAGGUGGUAUGUACGCCGACGGCGUGCAAGGAUCAUUGCCGCCGAUUCCAGAUGUUGUGGCUAAGAAGAUCUUCCAUCUGAUGGGGAUGUUUGGCGUCGAACCAUCUGAGAUGUACUCUGACGAUCUCAUUGAUAAUUUUGCUGGCUAUAUUCCUCAGAUGAUACAUGCCAACCGGUGUUUCCUAGUGAAGUUCGACGGAGAAGUGUUUGUUAUAUUUAAGCUGCGGCAUCACAUGGAGGUUUUCAAGAUGGACACUGAGAGGGACUUGCUCGAACCUGUGAAGAGCAUCGGCAACCUUGUCAUCUUCAUUGGUUAUCGUAGGUGCCUGAUUGUGAAUGCUGAGAAGUUCACAUCUAUUGACGCCAACUGCAUCUACUACAUAAGAUCCAUUGAUUACUCCAUUCAUAUCUACUCCCUUCUUUUCGGUUUAUAA